CCUACGGGGGGCUGCAGUGGGGAAUAUUGGGCAAUGGAGGCAACUCUGACCCAGCAAUGCCGCGUGAGUGAUGAAGGUAAUUUUAUUGUAAAGCUCUUUUCUUUGGAACGAAUAAAUGACGGUACCAAAGGAAUAAGCCCCGGCUCACUACGUGCCAUCAGCCGCGGUAAUACGUAGGGGGCAAGGGUUGCUCGGAAUGACUGGGCGUAAAGGGUGUGUAGGGGGUUUGAUAAGUUAGAUGUGUAAUACCCAGGGCUUAACUUGGGUGCUGCAUCUAAAACUGUUAGACUUGAGUACAGGUGAGGAUAGUGGAAUUCAUAGUGUAGCGGUGGAAUGCUUAGAGAUUAGGAGGAACAUCAGUGGCGAAGGCGACUAUCUGGACAGCAACUGACACUGAGGCACGAAAGCGUGGGGAGCAAACAGGAUUAGAUACCCGGGUAGUC
RNAcentral lists this ribosomal RNA (443 nucleotides) under uncultured bacterium. RNAcentral describes it as "partial 16S ribosomal RNA". It matches the Rfam family "Bacterial small subunit ribosomal RNA", at positions 338 to 795 of the family's 1533-position model. The record is from RNAcentral.